RNAcentral lists this ribosomal RNA (515 nucleotides) under uncultured bacterium. RNAcentral describes it as "bacterial SSU rRNA". It matches the Rfam family "Bacterial small subunit ribosomal RNA", at positions 49 to 523 of the family's 1533-position model. The record is from RNAcentral.
UAACACAUGCAAGUCGAACGAGAAGAUGGCUUCUGAUUCGUUCGGGAUGAGGAGGCCGGCAGAAAGUGGCGAACGGGUGAGUAACGCGUGGGUAAUCUACCCGUAAGUGGGGGAAACCCUCAGAAAGGAGGAUUAAUACAGCAUAAGAUCUUCACUUCCCAAGAAGAGAAGAGGAAAGAUGGCCUGUAUAAUAUGCUAUCGCUUUCGGAUGAGCAUGAGUCUUAUUAGUUAGUUGGUGGGGUAAUGGCCUACCAAGACCACAAUGGGUAGCCGGUUUGAGAGGAUGUACGGCCACACUGGGACUGAGAUACGGCCCAGACUCAUACGGGAGGCAGCAGUGGGGAAUAUUGCGCAAUGGGGGAUACCCUGAAGCAGCGACGCGGAGUGGAUGAUGAAGGCCUUUGGGUUGUAAAGUCUUGUUGUGGGGGAAGAAACCUUAAGGGUCCAAUAGGCCCUUAAGUUGACGGUACCCCAUAGAGUAAGCUCCGGCUAAUUAUUGCCAGCAGCCGCGGUAA